This 294-nucleotide unclassified non-coding RNA is filed under the name uncultured fungus. Its description in RNAcentral is "sequence contains ITS2". The stretch from base 1 to 52 matches the Rfam family "5.8S ribosomal RNA", at positions 103 to 154 of the family's 154-position model. Lineage: Eukaryota; Fungi. The record is from RNAcentral.
AACGCACCUUGCGCUCCUUGGUAUUCCGAGGAGCAUGCCUGUUUGAGUGUCAUGAAAUUCUCAACCUUUCUGGUUUUUAUUAACUAGUUUGGCUUGGAUUGUGGGAGUUGCUGGCUUCUAAGAAGUCAGCUCUUCUUAAAUGCAUUAGCAAAAUCUUUGCUGACCAUCCUUUGGUGUGAUAAUUAUCUACGUCAUUGAGAAUCAGCUUUUGUAGAUUUAGCUUCUAAUCGUCUUUCUUGAGACAACUUAUGACAAUUUGACCUCAAAUCAGGUAGGACUACCCGCUGAACUUAA